RNAcentral lists this ribosomal RNA (492 nucleotides) under uncultured bacterium. Its description in RNAcentral is "partial 16S ribosomal RNA". It matches the Rfam family "Bacterial small subunit ribosomal RNA", at positions 29 to 507 of the family's 1533-position model. The record is from RNAcentral.
AGUGAACGCUGGCGGUAGGCCUAACACAUGCAAGUCGAACGGCAGCACAGUAAGAGCUUGCUCUUACGGGUGGCGAGUGGCGGACGGGUGAGGAAUACAGCGGAAUCUACUUUUUCGUGGGGGAUAACGUAGGGAAACUUACGCUAAUACCGCAUACGACCUACGGGUGAAAGCAGGGGAUCUUCGGACCUUGCGCGAUUGAAUGAGCCGAUGUCGGAUUAGCUAGUUGGCGGGGUAAAGGCCCACAAAGGCAACGAUCCGUAGCUGGUCUGAGAGGAUGAUCAGCCACACUGGAACUGAGACACGGUCCAGACUCCUACGGGAGGCAGCAGUGGGGAAUAUUGGACAAUGGGCGCAAGCCUGAUCCAGCCAUACCGCGUGGGUGAAGAAGGCCUUCGGGUUGUAAAGCCCUUUUGUUGGGAAAGAAAAGCAGCAGGUUAAUACCCCGCUGUUCUGACGGUACCCAAAGAAUAAGCACCGGCUAACUUCGUG